Molecule: ribosomal RNA, 301 nt
Filed under: uncultured bacterium
Lineage: Bacteria
Description: partial 16S ribosomal RNA
Rfam family: Bacterial small subunit ribosomal RNA
Source: RNAcentral
CAGCCGCCGCGGUAAUACGAAGGGGGCUAGCGUUGCUCGGAAUGACUGGGCGUAAAGGGCGCGUAGGCGGAUGGCACAGUCAGAUGUGAAAUUCCCGGGCUUAACCUGGGGGCUGCAUUUGAUACGUGUUGUCUAGAGUGAGGAAGAGGGUUGUGGAAUUCCCAGUGUAGAGGUGAAAUGCGUAGAGAUCGGGAGGAACAUCAGUGGCGAAGGCGGCCAUCUGGGACAACACUGACGCUGAGGCACGAAAGCGUGGGGAGCAAACAGGAUUAGAUACCCCCGUAGUCCCUGUCUCUUAUAC